This 563-nucleotide ribosomal RNA is filed under the name Trichoderma harzianum. RNAcentral's name for it is "eukaryotic LSU rRNA". The stretch from base 205 to 358 matches the Rfam family "5.8S ribosomal RNA". Lineage: Eukaryota; Fungi; Ascomycota; Sordariomycetes; Hypocreales; Hypocreaceae. The record is from RNAcentral.
UUACCGAGUUUACAACUCCCAAACCCAAUGUGAACGUUACCAAACUGUUGCCUCGGCGGGAUCUCUGCCCCGGGUGCGUCGCAGCCCCGGACCAAGGCGCCCGCCGGAGGACCAACCAAAACUCUUAUUGUAUACCCCCUCGCGGGUUUUUUUAUAAUCUGAGCCUUCUCGGCGCCUCUCGUAGGCGUUUCGAAAAUGAAUCAAAACUUUCAACAACGGAUCUCUUGGUUCUGGCAUCGAUGAAGAACGCAGCGAAAUGCGAUAAGUAAUGUGAAUUGCAGAAUUCAGUGAAUCAUCGAAUCUUUGAACGCACAUUGCGCCCGCCAGUAUUCUGGCGGGCAUGCCUGUCCGAGCGUCAUUUCAACCCUCGAACCCCUCCGGGGGGUCGGCGUUGGGGAUCGGCCCUGCCUUGGCGGUGGCCGUCUCCGAAAUACAGUGGCGGUCUCGCCGCAGCCUCUCCUGCGCAGUAGUUUGCACACUCGCAUCGGGAGCGCGGCGCGUCCACAGCCGUUAAACACCCAACUUCUGAAAUGUUGACCUCGGAUCAGGUAGGAAUACCCGCU